GUCAGUGUGUGGACAUCUUAUUUUCCAGGUCCCUCUCCCAGGUCUUCUCCAGCAGUGAGUCACCGUCUUCCCCAGGUUCUGCAGGAAGAAGGCAGAGGCGCUUCUGUGCUCUGUCCACCCGAUAUGUAUAGGCCAGAUGUGAUCGCAAUAUUUUCUUUCCAUCCUGAUGCCAACCUAAGGAGGAUCCUUCCAGCUAUCCUGCAAGAGACUCCCCUAUGCUGCAUUGAGAAUAAUACUCAGGUUAGAGAUGCUUCGAGAUCCUCCCUGCAAAAUCUUUGCCUUGGCACUUGGCUCCCAGGGAGUCUCAUUUAUGUGUCCCACCAUAAAUCAUGGCUAGCUUAGAGACUAGAAGUGGGAACUGACCACAUCUCUACCUGCUUUCCUGGAAGAAGAUGAAACAGAGUUAUCAGCCGUGGGAGUCAAAGAGAACUAACUAAA
This is a long non-coding RNA of Pan paniscus (pygmy chimpanzee), 438 nucleotides long. NCBI's taxonomy places the organism in Eukaryota, Metazoa, Chordata, Mammalia, Primates, Hominidae. The record is from Ensembl.